This is a long non-coding RNA of Sapajus apella (tufted capuchin), 3256 nucleotides long. RefSeq lists it as uncharacterized. The record is from RefSeq and is a predicted model, not a curated record. The transcript has 3 exons. NCBI's taxonomy places the organism in Eukaryota, Metazoa, Chordata, Mammalia, Primates, Cebidae.
GCCGCUCUGGCCGGCUCUCUCGGUGUCCUGGAGGACCUGGCUGGCUGCGCCGGAAGCUGGGCUCAGACGGCGGGGCGGUCGCGGGCGGUGAGGAGUUUGUUGCCCCACUGAGGAUUCGUCAUGAAGACAUCCAGUACGUGGAAAACAAAUAACAGCAACAGUAACUCAUUUUUAAAUAUUAAAAUUGCUGGAGAACACGACGGAUCCUGCCGCUGUUCGGCUGUCCUGGUCAAGUCAGGGACCCUAGGGCUCUGCACCGUGCCCUGCACACAACCCCCCGGAAAGAGGCUCUGAUGUGUUCCCUGCUGCAAGGCUGGCUGCAUAAUCUGUGGGGCCCAGGCAAACUCAAAGUGCAAAGCUCCUUGUUCAGAAAACAGAGGGAAGGUGCCAUUAAGAACCGUGCUGGUAAAAACAAAUGCUGCACAAAGGGAACUUGUUUCAUAUGCACAAGUUCUUCCACUCUCGGCCUGGGACUCACUGAUGAGUGAGGAAGGACUGAAGGCAAAAGAACUAUGGACUGGCCUUUCGGCAUACUCCGUUGUCUAACAUAAAGAAGUGCAUGAAUAAGAACAUACAUGAUAUGUGUGAUGGCUAAUACUGAGUGGCAGCUUGAUUGGAUUGAAAGAUGCAAAGUAUUGAUCCUGGAUGUGUCUGUCAGGGUGUUGCCAAAGGAGAUUAGCAUUUGAGCAGUGGGCGGGGAGGCAGACCUACCCUUAAUCUGGUGGGCACCAUCUAAUCAGCUACCAGUGCUAGAAUAUAAAGUAGGCAGGAAAAAUGUGAAAAGAGAGACGGGCCUAACCUCCCAGCCUACAUCUUUCUCCCUGGCUGGAUGCUUCCUGCCCUUGAACAUCGGACUCCAGGUUCUUUAGUUUUGGGACUUGGACUGGCUCUCCUUUCUCCUCAGCUUGAAAACUGCCUAUUAUGGGACUUGCGAUCAAGUAAGUUAAUACUUAUAAACUCCUCUAGAGAAACCUGACUAAUACAGCAUGGUUCCUUUAUGUUUCUUAAGACACCAUUGCCGCCUUUCUGCCUUCAAAGCAAGUUUAGGCUCUAAGGGGAAAAGUGCGGCCCUUCAGGGAUGUCAGCAUCCAGCUCACGCAGCUGUAGAUAUAGCAUGAGAACCUUGUGCUCACUUUGAGUCUUGGUGGCCUCCCAACAUCAGGGGUCCACAGGGAAUUCAAUGUGCAUGGUGCAUCGUGAAUGCUUUAUGGAACAUCGGUGGCCACACACAGAGGCCUGUUUCCCUGGCUCAUGUUUCAUUGUGUUAAUGGACCUCAGUUACAAACCACAAGUUUACAGAUAAAAUUAUUAAACAUUUCAAGACAGAAACAGCCAUCCUUAAUUAUUUUUACAUAAUCCACAACAUCUCUGUGAAGACGAAAACACUACGAUGUUCUUCAGGGAAUUGCCAACACUAAAUAGAAGGGCAGAUAAGGAGAUCAACAUUUGAGUCAGUGGGCUGGGAACAGCCGCUGACAUACAUGGUUAGCAGAACUAGAGAUAUUUUGGAGAAAUAAAGCAACAAAGUUUCAUCCACAGCUGCAAGGAAGGGAAGGACUGAAGGCAGUGUGAUUCUAAGAUCAUUUGACAGAACCAUGAUGAGCAGGAUUUUGACGCUUGUAAUAGCCUCUAACCCUUUAGGGGCAGAGAAAUAUUCAGUAGAAGCCCUGCUUGACAAUUUGAUCAUUUAAAAGGAAAACUAUAAUGUGAAAGCUUUGGCAGGUGCUUUGGGCCUCUAAGAGGUGGAAACCUACAAAGGUGGCUCUUUGCUGAUUAGAAAAUUGCAGUGAGGCUUUGAAUACAUAUUACAGGUUAGAGGUAGAGUUGGGGUGUCACUUAAGGACCAAGCUGCUCCUUAGAAGACCAGUUUAGGAAUUUGGGAUUUGGAGGCUGGUUGCCAGAGAGAGUAGGAAGAGAGUCCUUGGGAGGCAGAGAGGAGUCUCUGGGAGCAGUUGGGGUCUGAGGUGAGACCCUGGCUUGAACACCAGGAACUCCAAGUGGCAGUGAAGCACUGAAGCGUCUUCGGAGCUGUGAUGGUUGUUAUUCAGUUUUAGGUUGUCACUGUACUGUGCUGGAACCACCUUUUCCCCCAGACUUUCGACAGUAAAUGGGAGAAGAGAGGGGGUACAGGAAAGGGCAUUGUGGUGUAAAAUGCUGUCAUCUCUGGAGGUGUGACUCAGAAGAGAGAUCAAGGCUGGGAAGAAGCAAGACAGUCAAAGAGAGGCAGCCAAAAGGACCCUCUGCUCCUGGAGAUGCUGGUGCUGCAGUGGGAAGGACUGUGUUUCUCAGUGCUCUUGCAGUGAGGAUGGGGUCAGCGGGCUGAAGGGAAGCAUGCUCUUCGGAGGCUGGGGGAUGGGCUCUCAGACCCGUUGCCACCCCCGGUCUUCCCCUUAUGCACCUUUUCCAUAACUCUUCUCUGGGGAAGCACAGUGAUUGAGGAGGCUAGAAAUUAUACUGGGACGGCUGGUACAGUUUGGACGUUUGUCCCCUCCAAAUCUCCUGUUGAAAUGUGAUCCCCAGUGUUGGAAGGGGGGCCUUGUGGGAGGUGAUUGGAUCAUGGGGAUGCAUCUGUCAUGAAUGGCUUAGUGCCAUCCACUUUGUGAUGAGUGAGUUUUCAACUCUGGCAGUUCAUGUGAGAUCUGGCUGUUUCAAAGAGCAGGGUAUCUCCUCUCUCUGUCUUAUUCCCUGUCUUGCCAUGUACCAUGUCUGCGCCCACUUCACCUUCCACCAUAAUUGAAACUUACUGAGGCUUCACCAGAAGCAGAUGCCAGCAUUAUGCUUCCUGUACAGCCAGCAGAAUCAUGAGCCAAGAUUGGGAAGAAGCAAGUCUGACUGCCCUCCUGAUUCACAAAGAGCAUUAAGAAAGCUGUAGUAGGCUGGGCCACAUAGCCCAGAGGGCUGAGCCUCCUUGCCUGCCUGCCCAUCCACCCUGGUUGUCCCAGUGGUAGGGCCUGGAAAACCUCUAAGGGGAGAGAACAGCUGGAGUUUCUGUUGAUGUGAAAAAGGCAGCUCUCUGCCUUGCACACCCACACUUCUUUUCCUAUAAAACUUCCUAGCAGCAAUUUGAGCUACCUGCGGAGGAGACAGGGCAGGAAGGGCGAGGGUCUGCCUCUGACCUGCCGUGUCCUUUGUAGGAAGCGGGUAGGCACCUUUCUGAGCUUCUUCUAUUCCCUACCCACACCCCCAGGCAGGGUUGGACGUGAAGGAGUUUUUUAACCUUUGUUUUCGUUUUUUAAAAAUAAAUCUGUAAAAUCUG